Molecule: non-coding RNA, 95 nt
Organism: Acanthosepion pharaonis
Lineage: Eukaryota; Metazoa; Mollusca; Cephalopoda; Sepiida; Sepiidae
Source: the annotation of a GenBank genome assembly
AGUAGGCACCAUUUCUCAUCUGAUCACUGAAGUUAAGCAAUGUUGAGCUUGGUGAGUAUCUUGAUGGGUGACUGCUUGGAAAUACCAGGAUAUGC